This 253-nucleotide ribosomal RNA is filed under the name uncultured bacterium. RNAcentral describes it as "partial 16S ribosomal RNA". It matches the Rfam family "Bacterial small subunit ribosomal RNA", at positions 524 to 776 of the family's 1533-position model. The record is from RNAcentral.
UACAGAGGGUGCGAGCGUUAAUCGGAAUUACUGGGCGUAAAGCGCGCGUAGGCGGUUAUGUAAGUCAGAUGUGAAAGCCCCGGGCUCAACUUGGGAACUGCGUCUGAUACUGGAUGGCUUGAAUUCGGGAGAGGGAUGCAGAAUUCCAAGUGUAGCGGUGAAAUGCGUAGAUAUCUGGAGGAACACCGGUGGCGAAGGCGGCAUCCUGGACCGGUAUUGACGCUGAGGCGCGAAAGCUAGGGGAGCAAACGGG